This 453-nucleotide ribosomal RNA is filed under the name uncultured bacterium. RNAcentral's name for it is "bacterial SSU rRNA". It matches the Rfam family "Bacterial small subunit ribosomal RNA", at positions 340 to 786 of the family's 1533-position model. The record is from RNAcentral.
UACGGGAGGCAGCAGUGGGGAAUAUUGCACAAUGGGCGCAAGCCUGAUGCAGCCAUGCCGCGUGUAUGAAAAAGGCCUUCGGGUUGUAAAGUACUUUUCAGUCGUGAGGAAGGUGUUAAGGUUAAUAACCUUAGCAAUUGACGUUAGCGACAGAAGAAGCACCGGCUAACUCCGUGCCAGCAGCCGCGGUAAUACGGAGGGUGCGAGCGUUAAUCGGAAUUACUGGGCGUAAAGGGCACGCAGGCGGUUAAUUAAGUUGGAUGUGAAUCCCCGGGCUUAACCUGGGAAUGGCAUUCAAGACUGGUUAGCUAGAGUCUUGUAGAGGGGGUAGAAUUCCAUGUGUAGCGGUGAAAUGCGUAGAGAUGUGGAGGAAUACCGGUGGCGAAGGCGGCCCCUGGACAAAGACUGACGCUCAUGUGCGAAAGCGUGGGGAGCAAACAGGGAUUAGAUACC